AAAACAGGCGGCGGCGGCGGCGGCGGCGGCGCGGCGCGGCGCGGCGCGGCGGCGCCCAGGUCUACGCCUCUACGGCCUUCUACCGCUCUACCUUUAAAAACUACGGCAGGAAAGGGAGUGGCUAGCUGACUGGCGCAAGACAGACGCGUCAUUCGGACAAUUUGGAAGCGAUUCGUACUCGUUUCUGGUUCGCGGUGCGGAACGAGGCAUCCCGUCUACCAUGUCCGAACCGGAGAGCACCGACGGAAUCUCGAACGGCGAAGCCGAGGAAGGCCGAUCGCUGACGGACCGCCUGAACAAGGCACUCCUGCAGUCGUUCCUACACCGGUUGAACGAGAGCAGCGACGCCGGCGACUCCCCCACCACGGAACACGUAGACAGCGGAUACAGCUUCGAAGACUAAGCCCGACUAAGCUUCGACGUGCCCCCAACAGUCUUCCAAUACACGCUCGCAUUUGUAUCGAAUUGGAGCCAGAACUUACAAUAAAGACAGUAAUGUUUC
Molecule: long non-coding RNA, 502 nt
Organism: Ixodes scapularis (black-legged tick)
Lineage: Eukaryota; Metazoa; Arthropoda; Arachnida; Ixodida; Ixodidae
Exons: 2
Source: RefSeq, a predicted model, not a curated record